AGAGUUUGAUCCUGGCUCAGGACGAACGCUGGCGGCGUGCUUAACACAUGCAAGUCGAACGAUGAAGCCUAGCUUGCUAGGUGGAUUAGUGGCGAACGGGUGAGUAAUACGUGAGUGACCUACCUUUGACUCUGGGAUAAGCCUGGGAAACUGGGUCUAAUACCGGAUACGACCAAUCUCCGCAUGGGGUGUUGGUGGAAAGCGUUAUGGAGUGGUUUUAGAUGGGCUCACGGCCUAUCAGCUUGUUGGUGAGGUAAUGGCUUACCAAGGCGACGACGGGUAGCCGGCCUGAGAGGGUGACCGGCCACACUGGGACUGAGACACGGCCCAGACUCCUACGGGAGGCAGCAGUGGGGAAUAUUGCACAAUGGGCGCAAGCCUGAUGCAGCGACGCCGCGUGAGGGAUGACGGCCUUCGGGUUGUAAACCUCUGUUAGCAUCGAAGAAGCGAAAGUGACGGUAGGUGCAGAGAAAGCGCCGGCUAACUACGUGCCAGCAGCCGCGGUAAUACGUAGGGCGCGAGCGUUGUCCGGAAUUAUUGGGCGUAAAGAGCUUGUAGGCGGUUGGUCGCGUCUGCUGUGAAAGGCUGGGGCUUAACCCCUGGUUUUGCAGUGGGUACGGGCUAACUAGAGUGCAGUAGGGGAGACUGGAAUUCCUGGUGUAGCGGUGGGAAUGCGCAGAUAUCAGGAGGAACACCGAUGGGCGAAGGCAGGUCUCUGGGCUGUAACUGACGCUGAGAAGCGAAAGCAUGGGGAGCGAACAGGAUUAGAUACCCUGGUAGUCCAUGCCGUAAACGUUGGGCACUAGGUGUGGGGGACAUUCCACGUUUUCCGCGCCGUAGCUAACGCAUUAAGUGCCCCGCCUGGGGAGUACGGCCGCAAGGCUAAAACUCAAAGAAAUUGACGGGGGCCCGCACAAGCGGCGGAGCAUGCGGAUUAAUUCGAUGCAACGCGAAGAACCUUACCAAGGCUUGACAUAUACUGGACUGCGUCAGAGAUGGCGUUUCCCUUCGGGGCUGGUAUACAGGUGGUGCAUGGUUGUCGUCAGCUCGUGUCGUGAGAUGUUGGGUUAAGUCCCGCAACGAGCGCAACCCUCGUUCUAUGUUGCCAGCACGUGAUGGUGGGGACUCAUAGGAGACUGCCGGGGUCAACUCGGAGGAAGGUGGGGAUGACGUCAAAUCAUCAUGCCCCUUAUGUCUUGGGCUUCACGCAUGCCACAAUGGCCGGUACAGAGGGUUGCGAUACUGUGAGGUGGAGCUAAUCCCUAAAAGCCGGUCUCAGUUCGGAUUGGGGUCUGCAACUCGACCCCAUGAAGUCGGAGUCGCUAGUAAUCGCAGAUCAGCAACGUUGCGGUGAAUACGUUCCCGGGCCUUGCACACACCGCCCGUCAAG
RNAcentral lists this ribosomal RNA (1390 nucleotides) under uncultured bacterium. RNAcentral's name for it is "bacterial SSU rRNA". It matches the Rfam family "Bacterial small subunit ribosomal RNA". The record is from RNAcentral.